Molecule: ribosomal RNA, 497 nt
Filed under: uncultured bacterium
Lineage: Bacteria
Description: partial 16S ribosomal RNA
Rfam family: Bacterial small subunit ribosomal RNA
Source: RNAcentral
GAUGAACGCUGGCGGCGUGCCUAAUACAUGCAAGUCGAGCGAACAGACGAGGAGCUUGCUCCUCUGACGUUAGCGGCGGACGGGUGAGUAACACGUGGAUAACCUACCUAUAAGACUGGGAUAACUUCGGGAAACCGGAGCUAAUACCGGAUAACAUGUUGAACCGCAUGGUUCAACAGUAAAAGACGGUCUUGCUGUCACUUAUAGAUGGAUCCGCGCCGCAUUAGCUAGUUGGUAAGGUAACGGCUUACCAAGGCAACGAUGCGUAGCCGACCUGAGAGGGUGAUCGGCCACACUGGAACUGAGACACGGUCCCGACUCCUACGGGAGGCAGCAGUAGGGAAUCUUCCGCAAUGGGCGAAAGUCUGACGGAGCAACGCCGCGUGAGUGAAGAAGGUCUUCGGAUCGUAAAACUCUGUUAUUAGGGAAGAACAAAUGUGUAAGUAACUAUGCGCGUCUUGACGGUACCUAAUCAGAAAGCCACGGCUAACUACGUG